UUGAGUAAUAAUAAAGAGAUAACACAAUAUCAAUAUAUUUAAGAAUCAUUUUAUGACAAUAUUUCAAGUUUUGGAAAAGGUUUCUUGCAACUAAAUUAUUGCUAAAAACUUUUCAUUAGUGUGUAAAGAUCGUGGGAUUGUUUUUUUUUUUUUUUGUGUCAAGUAGUAGUUUGUUGGUUAAAAUUUUUCGAUAAAGUAAAUAGCUAUAUGCUAAGAUAAACUUAUAUGAACAAAUCAUGUCAUUUUUUUUUUGGUUUACAAAUGCUGCCAAUGAAGAUUAAAUUUUUAUUACAUUAUAAAGUAGUUAAAUUUUUUAGUUUUGUUUCUUACAUACAAAAUAGGAAACAAUGUCUAAAACGCUUGUGUUUAUUUCUGCUAUUACUCUCGUCCUUUCUCUGUUUCUUGUAUCCUACAACGAUUCUGAGUCAAAAAACAAUAUGAUAGACUCAACUCAUAUCUGCAAUUUUGACUCUGAUUGUCACAGUUUACCAUGUGGCCCCGUUGCAACUGGGAGAUGUAUUGAGUAUGGGUGUGAAUGUGUGUUCUAAUU
This is a long non-coding RNA of Trifolium pratense (red clover), 550 nucleotides long. RefSeq lists it as uncharacterized. NCBI's taxonomy places the organism in Eukaryota, Viridiplantae, Streptophyta, Magnoliopsida, Fabales, Fabaceae. The transcript has 2 exons. The record is from RefSeq and is a predicted model, not a curated record.